This is a long non-coding RNA of Oxyura jamaicensis (ruddy duck), 892 nucleotides long. RefSeq lists it as uncharacterized. The transcript is spliced from 3 exons. The record is from RefSeq and is a predicted model, not a curated record. NCBI's taxonomy places the organism in Eukaryota, Metazoa, Chordata, Aves, Anseriformes, Anatidae.
UGGCGUGUCGCUGUGAGGUACCGGGGCGUAGGUGUCGGGUGUUGGGGUGUCGCUGUGAGGUACCGGGGUGUAGGUGUCGGGUGUUGGGGUGUCAAUGUUGGAUAUUGGGGUGUCACUGUGAGGUAUUGGGGUGUAGGUGUUGGGUAUUGGGGUGUAGGUGUGAAGUAUGAGGUGCCAAUGUUGGAUAUUGGGGUGUUACUGUGAGGUAUUGGGGUGUAGGUGUUGGAUAUUGGAGCUUAGGUGUGAGAUAUAGGGUGUAAGUGUCAGGUAUUGGGGUAUAGGUGUGGGAUAUUGAAGUGUAGGUGGGUGGUACGGGCUGGAAGUGUCAGGUAUUGGGGCACCAGUGUGAGGUAUGGGGUGUAGGUGUCAGGUAUUGGGGUGUUGGUGCAAGGGAUCAGGGUGUAGGUGUGAGGUAUGGGGUGUUUGUGUCACAUAUUGGGGUGUGAGGGGUCUACCUGUCGGGUAUUGGGGUCUACCUGACAGAUAUCGGGUAUGAGUGUCACAUACUGUAGGUGUGAGGGGUCUACAUGUUGGGUAUUGGGGUCCCCUUGAGGAUAUUUGGGUGUUUCAGACUCUUAAACCAAGUUCACUCUGCUCCUAUUGAACACCCAGUUGUUGCACGCAUUAUUUAAAUCCUGUGAUGUUCGCAUCUCUUGGGGCAGCCUGAGAGAUUCCUUGAGAAUCCCACAUAAUUUUCUCCUGAAGCUGCUUUGCUUGGGCUGUGUGAAAUCACAUUUUUGCUCAUCUGCUUCCAGCACCUUUCCGUGCUCUGCUGGUCCCUGUAAUAGACUCGUGGGUGAGUUUGUAAAUGUUGUGCAGGGCAUGAAGUGGAACUAAUUUAGGAUAUUGUUUGUGCCGCUAGAAUGCGGUGGAAGCACAAACACCAACUUCU